UCCUCGUUUAAGCGAGGCAGUCUGUCCAGAGUGCUCCCGACUCUCGUCGGGGUGGCAACAGGACACAAGGGUUGCGCUCGUUGCGGGACUUAACCCAACAUCUCACGACACGAGCUGACGACAGCCAUGCAGCACCUGUGCAAGCUCCCCUUGCGGGGUCGUCCCACUUUCAUGGUUCUACCACUUGCAUGUCAAGGCCAGGUAAGGUUCUUCGCGUUGCAUCGAAUUAAGCCACAUACUCCACCGCUUGUGCAGGCCCCCGUCAAUUUCUUUGAGUUUUAAUCUUGCGACCGUACUUCCCAGGCGGCACGUUUAACGCGUUGGCUUCGCCACAAGUGGGGUCGAUUCCACUUACAGCAAACGUGCACCGUUUACGGCUAGGACUAC
Molecule: unclassified non-coding RNA, 387 nt
Filed under: uncultured Verrucomicrobiae bacterium
Lineage: Bacteria; Pseudomonadati; Verrucomicrobiota; Verrucomicrobiia
Description: contains 16S-23S intergenic spacer region
Source: RNAcentral